AUGUGUAAUAGGAAAGGAUUCAAGUCAAAAGAUAGUAAGGAGACAGAUGACCCCUUGAAGAAAAGGCGUAAGCAGACAAAUACACGAUGUGGUUGUGAUGCCCAUAUCUUUGUUAGACUUUGUGGGGAUAACACCUACAAGAUAGACUCAUGGGUUGAGCACCACAUUCACGGUCUUGUAUCACCUGAUAAGCGUCAUUUGAUCAGAUCGAAUCAUACAGUUAGUGAGAGGCUAAAGAAUACUUUAUACACAUGUCAUAACGCAAGCAUUGGAACCUCUCAAGCAUAUAGGCUCCUGCAAGUUAGCGAGGACGGAAUUGAAUGUUGGCUGCUCAAAGAGGGACUUGCAGAAUUACUACCAAGCACUCAGGUAUAA
RNAcentral lists this ribosomal RNA (375 nucleotides) under Triticum aestivum (bread wheat). Its description in RNAcentral is "partial small subunit ribosomal RNA". The record is from RNAcentral. Lineage: Eukaryota; Viridiplantae; Streptophyta; Magnoliopsida; Poales; Poaceae.